AUCCAGCUGCCGCGUGCGGCAAACAGCACAAAUAGCGCCAACUCUGGCCUGCGAGCGUUUGCUGCGACUAGCGCGCUAGCGCGCGUGACGUACACAAACGCGCUAGCCAGAAUGCUUUGACUUUGAUGGCUUUCACAGUUUCAGCUUCUAUUUUUGGAAAAGUAGCGCGCUCAGACCAGCUCGCUCACUCUUUUCCUCUUCCAUUUUUUAGGGCAGUUGUUUUGUUUGAUAGACGAAGCUUAGGGUCUUUUUGGGUUUGCAACCCUUACCCUCCUGGAAAAAAUCAUAGUUGCUAGACUGCGACACUUCAGACCAGGUACUAUUAGAGCCGCUAAUGGACGACGAGCUAUUUUCCGCUAUCCGGAGCUCAAGCAUUUGAGCCGCUAAAUGGACGAGACUCCUGGGGUAAAGGAUGCAGAGAAUGAGGAGAAAACACUCGUAUGGAGCAGGGAGUAGGUAUUGUACUACUUCCUGGUAUGGAGCACUGAGACGCGAGGCAGCAGUGUGCCUUGCCAUGAUCAACGCAGAAUCAACAAGUGCAGUUGAGGCUGAUGCGCCAGUUGACAAGAUUGCAAAGGCUAAGGAUGACAGCAGAAGGGCUGAUGCUGAACAGACUGCACAUGUUGAAGCGGUUUGCGUAGCCAGCAUAUGAACAGGCAAGAUCGAGGAGCAAGUGAUCACCCAUACCUGGUCAUAUUGGUGUGAAGUCAGCCAUAACUAUUGGUUAUGCUCUGGGGCAUGCUGUCAUCUGACCAGUCAAGAAACACUGCCUGAGAAUACGGUAGUGUUUGGCGAGGGCUAUCAGCGGCGAGUGCAAGGUGAUAAACCCACGGCACCGACAUUACAGCUGGACUUCCUAACAAAGAUAUUGCCAAACUACCAUCACCUGCAGACGUCACAGUCGGCAGCAGCAGCAGCAAUAUCUUGACCAAAGGUAUCCUUGCCCCAUCCACCUUACGUGGCCCUGUGUUUUUUGCUGCAAACCCCCAUUCACUGAACACGAGGUCUAAGAUGUAAUUGACUAGAUCAAUUCACUGGUCACUCUAUCGAAACCUAUCAAUUUCCUCUGUAUGUUCUGCUGUGGGACAUGUUAUCGUGUCUCAUUCUUUCACCUGCUGAUCAUAUAGCACAGAUAUUGUUUUAACAUUGUACUCAGCAGAGUAAUGCUGGUGUGUGUAUUUACACACAGCUAGAUCAUUGUCACAUUCAUGUGCAUUGUCUGACUCGAUGGUUUAUAUAAUUAUGCACCACAGGCUGAUAUGGGUAACCAUUCAUGACAUCUCUCCUGAGGUGCGUUGUACACACAUUUCUAACCUAUUGCUUGGAUACGCUGGUUCUAGGCGGUAUCCCGUUACUAGGAAAUGCCCACGCAAGGCUAUAAUCUCUGUUUCUAGGAAAUGUUGGUUCUAGGCUAUAAUAAUUAUUAGGGCUCAAACUGUUAGUCCGAUUAUCUGGUUGCAGACCGGUUACGGAGAAUUUACGGUUAACCGAUAAAGAUAACGGUUACUCAGUAACUUUUCAGUCAAUUUUUCGAGGAUCAGGUCGUUGCAAAGUAUGCACUUUCGCAGGCUGUCGCACGCGUACGCAAUUUCUGGGCUGUGAACUUGGUCAUAUCUGGUCUCUUGGUGUGAGAGUAUGUAUGAAUGAGCAUGCAAAUUGUGUGAGUUGUACUGGAUAGGGUACAUUUUUUGAAUUAGUAAAGUCAAAUAUACGGUUAAAAAAGAGUCCGCAGGAUCGCCGUGGCUUAUAGGUUAUAGCCGUUGAACCGACCGUUAGCUUAGCAGUUACCCGUUAGGGGUAAAACCGUGACCGUUUGAGCCCUAAUUAUUAUGCAGUUGGCAUCCUUCAGUCUGGCAUGCUGAAAUUUUCAAGUCGACGCUCCAAGACUGCCUUCUAUAUUUGGAUUUCGUUGAUGUGGCAGACAAUUGCCGCUGCUUUUAACACUGUAGUUAACAUACACAUGAUUUGCUUCUUAUCUGGACAGUGUUUUUGUGUGCUAUUCUGAUAUGGUUCUUAUGUCAUGUGGUCAAGAACACUGAUUUUCUACUGUUCUCCGUUGUGUGUGCGUGUCUCUGUGUGUGCACAAGUUGCUAUGU
This is a long non-coding RNA of Sycon ciliatum, 2096 nucleotides long. RefSeq lists it as uncharacterized. The record is from RefSeq and is a predicted model, not a curated record. Lineage: Eukaryota; Metazoa; Porifera; Calcarea; Leucosolenida; Sycettidae. The transcript is spliced from 4 exons.